CGCCGCUGUCGGCAGUACGCUCUUCCCGGCACACCCGUAUCAAGAGGCUCAAGGGAUGAGUUUUCCAUCAUAGGCAGCAGCUGGAUGUGCAGCUGGCCAGGCCACGCCUGGCUGUCGAUGGUUUUGGCUCUAGAGGUGCUGCUGUUGUGCUGUCCGCGGUCUGCCCUUGAUGUCGUGUGAUGGUGACAAGUUCAUCUCGGCAACAGUGGACUCUUCUACGCAUCCAUGGUAUAGGACCAAGUGUUGCUGCAUGGAUGCUAAUACCCUCGUUUUGUACGACGCUCAAAGGGGAACAAAGAGGGGAUGCUCCACCUCAAAGGACACUAAACACAAAAGGCCAACCCCUGAAAAGAAUCAUGUGUUCAUUAAAUGAAGAAGUCUACCGAUGAUAUCUGCCUGCCAAUGCCUAUCCACUAAGCGGGGCUGGCUCUGUUUCCUUCGGCGUGCUCGCCGGGAACAAGCAGGUAUUCAUACAGACUUGAUACAAACACAGAAAUCUCGAGAAAGCUCGAGAAGAUACAGGUGCACCAGAACACAAGGGAACCGCCGGCCUCGCCGGUGCUCGACGGGAGGGACGCGGUUGCCUCCGGUUACGCCUCUGGAUGUACUGUAGCAAGAGUAGGAGGGGAAAGCGGAGCCUGCCGAUGGAAGCAGCUUGACUGUCUUCGGAGAGAUGUGUUGUAGGACGAACCCAUCUUGCAAUGCUUGGCAACAUACUAGUUUUUGCAAAGAUUGUCUCACCAGGGGCAAGAUAUCAUGUGUUCUGAAGAUUCAAAAUCAUGCAUGCAUUUUUUAGAUGCCUGCUAGAUCUUUUUACGUCACGGGCUGUGCUUCCUGAGGUAUCAAAAAAUCCACAAGCUAUUGUCGAGGCAAGCAAACUUGAUUUGAGCACAAGUCGUCUGUUGAAGCAUGCCUGUCGGUCAAAUCACCUUCUGCUAUAUCAAUUCUGUCAGCACGAAGGUGAUGCAGCACAAGGGGAGAUGAAGAGGGGCUGCAGCUGCUGCAUGACUACUUCGAGCAGGAAGGGUGUGGUGAUGAUUCUGGUGUGGCGCCUUCGCCAUCUCUAGCAUCCAUUGCACUGCUGAUAUGUCCGGAGAGGACGGCCAGGUCUUCCUCGAAGAGGCGCUAAUUGCGAGAAAGACAAAAGGUGGCAGAAAAGUAUGCAGAAAUUUAGUAGAAGAUUGCACUGUCUGGAGCAGAAAAGAACGCACUACCGAGCAAGAUCCUUAUGCAACAUAUUUUGACGGAGAAAGACAGUUCCAAAAGGCAGCUGGAGAUUUCUAAUAAAAUGUUUCUAGCCUAGUAGAGGGCCCUGGCAGAUUCAAACUAUUACAGGAUUACGAAGGGGGCGAAGGCUAUCAAGCUAAAACUUACAGUGGAGUAUCUUAAGUCGGACUGGCUUACCAUUGGCUUCAAAUACUUCAUCCUUGACCUCCUCCCUCAGUGUUGUGACAUGGCGUCGAGUUCACGGUGCGAAGGCAUUGAAUUACUUCUUCGACUAUGUGGUUUUAGGAGCUAACUAGAACUGCAUGCAAUUUGGCAUACACUUGUAAAAAUGGAGAUUGGAAGGCAUCACUGAACACAAACACCACUUUUAGAAUUACUGUCAGGCUUCCACUUCUUCCGCUCUCGCUGCCGUGCGAUGGCGGCAACCAUGGUGACGGUGGCCUCUUCUUCGACUUCGUGGAUUGGGAGAAGACCAAAAUCAAGGAGUGCUCUUGUGGAUCUGCAAAGAAGCAGAAGACGAGAGUGUGGUUGCUCUUGCAAAUGGAUGCCCUCACCUUCAUUCCAUGGGGAUGUACUACUGCUAGAACAUCCCAGACUGGGCCAUGUGCUAGCUUGCAGCAAAUAGCCACUUCUGGAGCAAGGCCAUUAGCUGGGGCACAGAGAGUGGAAACAGGCAUAUCUGAGGACAAGGAUGGGCUCUUGAACCUGAACAUCAUCCAGUUCACCGCAGGUGGUGUGCGACUCUUUCCCAGUACUCCACGCGUGCCUUGAGAGGCAUUCAGUAAUCAUGAUCAGCUGCCUCAGCCUAACCGCUAUCCACUGCACAUGUGUCAGAGGGAGUAGCAAGUAAUAGUGAACCUUUGAACCAUUUAUAUGUUUUAUAUGCCAUGUUGUGAAUAAUUUACAAUAAGUUGUUGCUUAUGUUCUAUCUAUAUAGCUACUCAAGGAUAACAUAGGCCUGACCACAUUUCUUUUCCUCCUAUAACGAAAGUACUAAUCAAUGUUUCAAUGAGAAUUAUUUGUAGCUAGAUCAAUUGCUUUCUUAUGCCUUGCAACAUUUUUAGGUACUGCCUGUGCUAUUGCUUAUCGAAAGAUGGAUAUUGUACCCUUAAACCAUUGCAUACUUGUUGCUUGACUUGGAAAUUGUUUCUAGCUUUAUCAGUUCCUUGUUUUAAUAAGAAUUUGGAAUCAGACCGUUUUUAUUCCUUUAACUUUUGCUCUAUAGUACAUUUGGAUCACCUCAGGUGGUGGAAACACAAACCGCUUCCUUUUUUCCUUUGUGUUUUUGAAUUUUAGAGGAGAAGUGGACCUUGAGGUGGCCAGGAGGUAGUCAUGACCACUGGAUCUAGCAGGCCAGCAACGGUGGCCUUCUUCUUCGACGUUGUGGUUUUAGAUCGGAUUAGCUACCAGCUGCCUACCUGUACCUACUCGUGUACUUUGACAUGCUAUAAACACAUAGGCAGGCCUGUAAUUUGGAAGAUGAAGAAUUGGAAACACAUAGGGAAGAUAUAUAGUGUUGAUGGCUGGGACGGAGGUGGGAGGCGGAUGCCACCCUUUGUACCUACAAUUGCGACUCAGAAGUGCAAGAGGGGCAAGGAAGGUGCCACAACAUCCGAGUCGCUGCGUGAGCAUCCAAGGUGGAUGUAUUUGUAGUCCUCGUGCACGUCCGCAAUAGGAUGUAUCGCUAAUCGAGUUGUUGUUGCGUCUGUGCUUGUGUCAUGAACUAUAGGGAAUUUUCUUUUAUGAAUUGCUGUCACUGAUUAUGUAUCAGUAAUAUAGCGGAUGAUGUAUCACUUAUGCUGAAGUAAUAAAAUAUGCCCGGCUGGUUU
Molecule: RNA transcript, 3056 nt
Organism: Lolium rigidum
Lineage: Eukaryota; Viridiplantae; Streptophyta; Magnoliopsida; Poales; Poaceae
Exons: 15
Source: RefSeq, a predicted model, not a curated record